CAAUGUUGUAAUUACGUUGAAAUUUGUUUUAAUUGGAUUUCACUACUGAUUUGGUAUUCACCCGUAGUGGAAUCCCUUAACUUAGAAUGUAUAGCGCAGAGUAUGUUCAUUUGUUCAUAAUUCAUUCAUUCCCAAUUCCCUUAACAACGUUUCGCGCAGAACCCUAAAAAGUUUCUCUUCCUUUCUCUGCAAAAUAUUUUUCCAACCACUCUGUCUCACUCUCAAAUCACCAUCACGCGGUUCGUUCUAGAUUCGAGAUCUGUGUGGCGGUGUUGCUCGCGGAAAUCUUUGCUUCAUAUUUGAGCAGCAGAGUCGCGAUUGUUGCACCAGUGGAGGUGUUGUUGUGAAAGAUGUCGGUGGAGGUGUCAGGCGGCGAGAACGCUGACGUAUUUGAUUGCGGAUCUAAUGUUUCUGUUGUUGUGUUUGCGCAGCUUCAAGCCGUUCCGGAUCUUUUGAGGUUCAUCUUUUCUAGUAAGGCUUGGCGUUCCAAAGAAUAAAAAGCAUUAACAUAGAACUGAUAGAGUAAUGAACUGUAAGAAAGCAAUCUACAAAGGCUGAGAGUUGGUCAGCAGGGCACAAGGGGAUUCAAGAACUUGAACUUGCAUUGUUAUUUUCAAGAAGUUUCAGGAUUUUUGACUUAAAAGGAUAAGCCAAAAUAUAUAGUCACAAACAACUAAAAACAUAUAUUACUAACUCAAGGUUCAUUUGUAUAUAUUAUAAAACAAUCAUGUGCAUAAUACCUUGUGGUGCUGUGUUUUAGAUGCAAAUGCAAAACUUUCAAAUUUGAUGAACUGGAGUUGUGCCUUGGGUUAUGGCGUGGGAUCAGGCAGCCCUUUGAGCCCGUCUUUCAAUUUCAGUCUUGAGCUUGUCAAAAGCUCUCAGUUUGUUGCCUCCUUCUAUCAGCAUAUGGUUGUUCAAAGACGGGUGAAGAACCCCCUUGAAGAGAAUACUGUUGUUGGAAUUACAAACUACAUUGACUUUGGGUUUGAGUUACAAACAAGUGUUGAUGAUGCGAUAGCAGCAAACAGUAUCUCAGACUCCACUUUUCAAAUAGGUGCAUCCUGGCAAGCCAAUAAGAACUUCUUGCUGAAGGCAAAAGUUGGACCUAAAAGCUCAACAAUGGCUCUUGCAUUCAAGUCAUGGUGGAAACCUUCUUUCACAUUCAACAUUUCAGGUGACAAUAGAUGGAUUUUUUUCUGCAAUCUUGCUACGUUGCUUUUAUUUUGUCUUUAACCCUCUGGUUCGGUAAACCAGAGUUGGCCAUAAUAUAAGUAGUCUGGUUAAGGAUUGUUAAAGCCAGUGAUUGAACUUGGAUUUUCUGUUCUUUCUUUAUUGGGGCUUUUCAUAUCCUUUUGCAUCUGUGCCUGGACACAGUGGGGGUAGGGGCUAGGAAGAAUGCUUUCUGUUUUCUCCCUCGAGCAUUUCUGUUUUCUAAGAAUCAUUCAUUCUGUUUUUAUCUUGGGCACUACUAACUUAUUAAGUUUUCAUUUUACUACUUCCCCUGACCAAGAUGCUGGACAUUUUGAUGGCUUACCGAGAGAAAUGAGACCUCUUGACAAAAUUUUGUAAUUUCUUAUAGAUGCACAUUUCGCCGAUAAAUGAAAAUGCUUUCAGAAGAUUGCAGUCUAGUAACUCUAGUUCACUGCAUUUGAAUCACUACUCAAGUUUAAGUGAAAGACUAUCAAUAGUCAAUACCAUGUCAUGAAGCAGUCAAAGCUGAACGAAUCACAAAGACUGGGGACAGUUACCACUAUUUCAUGUUUUGUAGCACUUGGAAUUGGAGGUGGUAUUAAUGGGCUCUCUGCUUGUUCCCUCUCCUCAAAGAUGCUGGUGCUUUGUGGCUUUAGAUGAUUUUGAAUUUAGUUUCUUAGUCAUUAGACUUGGAAUUAAUUAGUGAUAACGUUAAGCACUGACUUUUAAUGUGUUGCAUGUAACUUGUUAGCUUGUUAGGAAUUGACAAUGACUUGUGGAAAAUAAUAUUCGGAAUUAUGU
RNA transcript from Trifolium pratense (red clover), 1992 nucleotides. RefSeq lists it as uncharacterized. The record is from RefSeq and is a predicted model, not a curated record. NCBI's taxonomy places the organism in Eukaryota, Viridiplantae, Streptophyta, Magnoliopsida, Fabales, Fabaceae. The transcript is spliced from 8 exons.